Molecule: ribosomal RNA, 414 nt
Filed under: Vibrio parahaemolyticus
Lineage: Bacteria; Pseudomonadati; Pseudomonadota; Gammaproteobacteria; Vibrionales; Vibrionaceae
Description: bacterial SSU rRNA
Rfam family: Bacterial small subunit ribosomal RNA
Source: RNAcentral
CGGGAGGCAGCAGUGGGGAAUAUUGCACAAUGGGCGCAAGCCUGAUGCAGCCAUGCCGCGUGUGUGAAGAAGGCCUUCGGGUUGUAAAGCACUUUCAGUCGUGAGGAAGGUAGUGUAGUUAAUAGCUGCAUUAUUUGACGUUAGCGACAGAAGAAGCACCGGCUAACUCCGUGCCAGCAGCCGCGGUAAUACGGAGGGUGCGAGCGUUAAUCGGAAUUACUGGGCGUAAAGCGCAUGCAGGUGGUUUGUUAAGUCAGAUGUGAAAGCCCGGGGCUCAACCUCGGAAUUGCAUUUGAAACUGGCAGACUAGAGUACUGUAGAGGGGGGUAGAAUUUCAGGUGUAGCGGUGAAAUGCGUAGAGAUCUGAAGGAAUACCGGUGGCGAAGGCGGCCCCCUGGACAGAUACUGACACUC